This 286-nucleotide non-coding RNA is filed under the name Treponema sp. Lineage: Bacteria; Pseudomonadati; Spirochaetota; Spirochaetia; Treponematales; Treponemataceae. The record is from RNAcentral.
GGCGCCGAAAGGCCUCCGGGCGAUCCGACCGCGAUGAACGCGGACGCCGGGAGAGGGAAGCCGGCUUGAAUCCGGCGCGCCCCCAGGCACUGUGAAGGACGAGGUCGAAGCGAUCCUCCUCAUAACCGCGUUCAGGCGGCGUGGGGGGCGAUACCACUGGAACACGAUUCCGGGAAGGGCGCAGCGGCCGCAACGGAAAUUUUACUGGAAAUCCCUUCAGGAUUUUUAAUAAAACCUGUUCCGUAUAGUCCCCAGCCAGGAAACCUGCCCCGUCCCGGACCCCUGG